This 462-nucleotide ribosomal RNA is filed under the name uncultured bacterium. RNAcentral describes it as "bacterial SSU rRNA". It matches the Rfam family "Bacterial small subunit ribosomal RNA", at positions 28 to 507 of the family's 1533-position model. The record is from RNAcentral.
GAUGAACGCUGGCGGCGUGCCUAAUACAUGCAAGUCGAACGGGGUGUUUGAGCAAUCGGACACUUAGUGGCGAACGGGUGAGUAACGCGUUGGUGACCUGCCCCAAAGCGGGGGAUAACAGCCUGAAAGGGUUGCUAAUACCGCAUAUGAUGAUGAGAGACUAGAAACUUAUCAUUAAAGGAGAAAUCCACUUUGGGAGGGGCCUGCGUCCCAUCAGCUAGUUGGUAGGGUAAAAGCCUACCAAGGCGAAGACGGGUAGGGGACCUGAGAGGGUGACCCCCACAAUGGAACUGAAACACGGUCCAUACACCUACGGGUGGCAGCAGUAGGGGAUAUUGCACAAUGGGCGGAAGCCUGAUGCAGCAACGCCGCGUGAGUGAUGAAGGCCCUCGGGUCGUAAAACUCUUUUCAAGAGGAAGAGGAAGGACGGUACUCUUGGAAUAAGCCUCGGCUAACUACGUG